AUCAGACUUCCUUUUUGUUUAAGGAAAGCAAUUAUUUCUGAAGUCAGUGAAGAUUAUAACCAGGGAUAAUAGCAUAACUUUGCAAAGCACUGUGCCUUUAUCUCAGUAGAACCUGAAGUUUAAGCUUUCAAGUCUGACCUUUGAGAACUCUACAACAGAAACCUUUAGUGUUGGGCAGUUUUUAAACCAAAGUUAAACAGUCAGUAGUCUGUUUACUAAUUGUACUAUAUUAUAUUAUGCUAUAACUAUAAUACAUUACAUUACAUUACAAUAAAAUAAAAAAUAGACCUCUUCUGAUAGUUAAAAUUUGUUGUGACCAUAUUUGUUUUUCUGUUAGCAGAUAAGUUUUUUUUGCUGUGGGAUUCUGCAGCCCUUUAGAGGAGGGAGGGCUGUACCUGCACUGAACAGGCUGUGAAGUUUUUGCUGUCAGGACUGAAUUUUGUGUUCACCCAGUCAAGGAGUAGAAGCAUAUUCCAGAGAUGGAUUGCUUCUAAGUAAUAGACUUCUGAGUGUACAGAUUCAUAAAUGCCAUAAUGGAAAGACUAAAUGCCUGUACAUGCAGAACAGCUGGAUUCCAGCACUGGCAAUGCUGUUACAGAGGACUCCAGGCCUGAGAAACUCCUGUGAGAAGCAUGAGGAAUUUAUCAGAGCGUGGCUCAAUCACAAAUUACAUGAGUUUGUUGAAGAGAGUGACACCUACAUCCCUGGGCCAAUCACAGACUGAUCAUGCUGCUGGCAAAGUUACAUUUUCUCUGAAGGAGGCACUAAAGCAGUUUUGCCCAGAUCUUGCAUGCAAACACUUCUGCUAAGCUUGAAGAUGAAACUGUUUAACAAACAAGGUAAGUAUAGAACAAGUAAAACAAUAAACAAUUGUAAUACCAGAAGAGAAUUCA
RNAcentral lists this long non-coding RNA (893 nucleotides) under Cyanistes caeruleus (blue tit). RNAcentral describes it as "lncRNA (ENSCCEG00000016043.1)". The record is from RNAcentral. Lineage: Eukaryota; Metazoa; Chordata; Aves; Passeriformes; Paridae.